AUGAAUGACAACCCACCAAUUCUAUGUUGGAAUGUCCGCGGCCUAAACUCACCAGCGGAGCGAUCUGCAGUAAGCGAAGUAGUUGUUUCUCUCUGAACGGCCAUCCUCUGUCUCCAGGAGACCAAGAUCGACGUUUGGACUCCGCAACUAGUUAGGGAUAUUGGCGGCGCAAGCCUCUCGGGAUGCAUUGUCCUACCGGCUAUCGGCACCAGAGGAGGAGUAGCGAUCUUCUGGAACCCGGACGUGGCCACUCACCUCACAUGCUGUAGGAGAAUUCGCGAUCACAGCCAAGGUUGA
RNAcentral lists this ribosomal RNA (297 nucleotides) under Triticum aestivum (bread wheat). RNAcentral describes it as "partial small subunit ribosomal RNA". The record is from RNAcentral. Lineage: Eukaryota; Viridiplantae; Streptophyta; Magnoliopsida; Poales; Poaceae.